This 233-nucleotide ribosomal RNA is filed under the name uncultured microorganism. Its description in RNAcentral is "partial 16S ribosomal RNA". It matches the Rfam family "Bacterial small subunit ribosomal RNA", at positions 9 to 238 of the family's 1533-position model. The record is from RNAcentral.
GAGUUUGAUCAUGGCUCAGAUUGAACGCUGGCGGUAUGCUUAACACAUGCAAGUCGAACGGUAACAGGAGAGAGCUUGCUCUUUUGCUGACGAGUGGCGGACGGGUGAGUAAUGCGUAGGAAUCUGCCUAGUAGUGGGGGACAAUGUGUGGAAACGCACGCUAAUACCGCAUACGCCCUACGGGGAAAGGCGGGGAGUCUUCGGACCUCGCGCUAUUAGAUGAGCCUACGUUA